Non-coding RNA from Daldinia eschscholtzii, 108 nucleotides. The record is from the annotation of a GenBank genome assembly. Lineage: Eukaryota; Fungi; Ascomycota; Sordariomycetes; Xylariales; Hypoxylaceae.
GCUCGGUUAGCUCAGUUCGGUUAGAGCGUCGUACUAAUAUCUUCAUCUUUCAUCGGUGGAAAUAUCAAGUUAAUGCGAAGGUCAUGAGUUCAAUCCUCAUACUGAGCA